Molecule: long non-coding RNA, 240 nt
Filed under: Homo sapiens (human)
Lineage: Eukaryota; Metazoa; Chordata; Mammalia; Primates; Hominidae
Description: non-protein coding lnc-USP17L2-2:1
Source: RNAcentral
AUUUGUGGACUAAUUUUCUCACUGGAUCUUCUUUCCUGCAGUAAGAGGUGAUUUGGGUCCUGUGGAAGGUCAUUGUCUCAAUUUGUCUGGUGUUUGCAGAAGAGAUGUCUGCAAAGUAGUAGAAGAUCAAAUUGGUGCCUGCCGAAGAAGGAUGAAGUGUUGUAGAGCAUGGUGGAUUUUAAUGCCAAUUCCAACACCACUUAUCAUGUCAGAUUAUCAAGAACCCCUUAAACCUAAGUU